RNAcentral lists this long non-coding RNA (461 nucleotides) under Gossypium barbadense (sea-island cotton). RNAcentral's name for it is "long non-coding RNA (GBAR_LNC019353)". Lineage: Eukaryota; Viridiplantae; Streptophyta; Magnoliopsida; Malvales; Malvaceae. The record is from RNAcentral.
CCCGAAGUGGUGACAUUGAGAGGGAACUUGCCAUCGCCACUAUCACCAGCUUGGGUUCUCAAAGGGUUGCUAAUGGUUUGGAACUGAGACGAGGUGAGGUAUGUUGGGACGAUGUGGAAUUGCACCAGCUGCACUUUUUGUUCAUCGGUGAGUGAAUUCAAUGUGCCCGAUUUAAGGCUGGAGAAAGCAUUGUCCGUUGGUGCAAAAACGGUCAUACCAUUGUUGGAAUUGUUGAGCUGACCGAGCAGCUGGUUGGCCACUUGAGUGGACUUUAGAAGACGAAUGAAGAGGGUGAAUUGACCAGCUUUUUCGAGGAUCUUGGUGACGUUUGUCGGACCAGAAGGUGCCGGGGCCAGUGCCGGAGAUUGGGCUAAUGUUGUUGAACAACUGAGGGAAAACAGGAUGAGCAACGUGAGAGUAGUGAAGACAUAUUGUUGCCUCAUUGUGGGUUGUAUUGGAAG